This 301-nucleotide ribosomal RNA is filed under the name uncultured bacterium. Its description in RNAcentral is "partial 16S ribosomal RNA". It matches the Rfam family "Bacterial small subunit ribosomal RNA", at positions 509 to 807 of the family's 1533-position model. The record is from RNAcentral.
CAGUAGCCACGGUAAAACGAAGGGGGCUAGCGUUGUUCGGAAUCACUGGGCGUAAAGGGUGCGUAGGCGGAUUCUUAAGUCAGGGGUGAAAUCCCGAGGCUCAACCUCGGAACUGCCUUUGAUACUGGGGAUCUUGAGUCCGGAAGAGGUGAGUGGAACUGCGAGUGUAGAGGUGAAAUUCGUAGAUAUUCGCAAGAACACCGGUGGCGAAGGCGGCUCACUGGUCCGGAACUGACGCUGAGGCACGACAGCGUGGGGAGCAAACAGGAUUAGAUACCCCUGUAGUCCCUGUCUCUUAUAC